AUUGAACGCUGGCGGCAUGCUUUAUACAUGCAAGUCGUGCGGCAGCGCGGGGGCAACUCUGGCGGCGAGCGGCGAACGGGUGAGUAAUACAUAGGAACGUAUCCUGAAAUGGGGGAUAGCUCGGCGAAAGCCGGAUUAAUACCGCAUACGCUCCACGGAGGAAAGCAGGGGAUCGCAAGACCUUGCGUUUCUGGAGCGGCCUAUGUCUGAUUAGCUAGUGGCGGGGUAAUAGCCCACCAAGGCGACGAUCAGUAGCUGGUCCGAGAGGAUGAUCAGCCACACUGGGACUGAGACACGGCCCAGACUCCUACGGGAGGCAGCAGUAGGGAAUUUUGGACAAUGGGGGCAACCCUGAUCCAGCCAUGCCGUGUGAGUGAAGAAGGCC
This 385-nucleotide ribosomal RNA is filed under the name uncultured bacterium. RNAcentral describes it as "bacterial SSU rRNA". It matches the Rfam family "Bacterial small subunit ribosomal RNA", at positions 30 to 416 of the family's 1533-position model. The record is from RNAcentral.